GCCAGCAGCCAUAUCACUCUGCAACUCACAACUGGCAGGCCACUGAAGCUCAGCAGGUGUGAGCCUGGUCAGUACAGUACCUGGAUGGGAGACCUCCUGGGAAAACUAAGGUUGCUGCUGGAA
This 123-nucleotide ribosomal RNA is filed under the name Lepisosteus oculatus (spotted gar). Lineage: Eukaryota; Metazoa; Chordata; Actinopteri; Semionotiformes; Lepisosteidae. The record is from RNAcentral.